UACGUAGGGGGCGAGCGUUGUCCGGAAUUAUUGGGCGUAAAGCGCUCGUAGGCGGUGUGUCACGUCGGCCGUGAAAACCUGCAGCUUAACUGUGGGCGUGCGGUCGAUACGGGCAUCACUGGAGUUCGGCAGGGGAGACUGGAAUUCCUGGUGUAGCGGUGAAAUGCGCAGAUAUCAGGAGGAACACCGGUGGCGAAGGCGGGUCUCUGGGCCGAUACUGACGCUGAGGAGCGAAAGCGUGGGGAGCAAACAGG
RNAcentral lists this ribosomal RNA (254 nucleotides) under uncultured bacterium. RNAcentral's name for it is "partial 16S ribosomal RNA". It matches the Rfam family "Bacterial small subunit ribosomal RNA", at positions 524 to 776 of the family's 1533-position model. The record is from RNAcentral.